Molecule: non-coding RNA, 30 nt
Filed under: Mus musculus (house mouse)
Lineage: Eukaryota; Metazoa; Chordata; Mammalia; Rodentia; Muridae
Source: RNAcentral
UAACAGUUUCAGAGUUUCAGAAAUGAGAAC